Molecule: microRNA precursor, 58 nt
Filed under: Octopus vulgaris (common octopus)
Lineage: Eukaryota; Metazoa; Mollusca; Cephalopoda; Octopoda; Octopodidae
Also listed under: 1 other name
Description: Ovu-Mir-184-P26_pre stem-loop
Source: RNAcentral
CCUUGUCACUUCUUCAUCUCGUCUAUACAAGAGUACUGGACGGAGAACUGAUAAGGGC